Molecule: transfer RNA, 73 nt
Filed under: Cavia porcellus (domestic guinea pig)
Lineage: Eukaryota; Metazoa; Chordata; Mammalia; Rodentia; Caviidae
Rfam family: tRNA
About the family: Transfer RNA (tRNA) molecules are approximately 80 nucleotides in length.
Source: Rfam by way of RNAcentral
GGAGAUUUAGCUCAGUGGCAUAAGCAUCUGCUUGGCAAGUACAAGGUUGUGAGUUCAGUCCCCAUUAUCCCCC